AAUUUAGGUAGCUUAUUUUAAAGCAUGGCACUGAAGAUGUUAGGAUAAUCAUUUUUGAUUCUUAAA
Molecule: transfer RNA, 66 nt
Filed under: China mantispoides
Lineage: Eukaryota; Metazoa; Arthropoda; Insecta; Orthoptera; Chorotypidae
Description: tRNA-Phe
Source: RNAcentral